This 92-nucleotide ribosomal RNA is filed under the name Candidatus Yanofskybacteria bacterium RIFCSPHIGHO2_01_FULL_44_17. Its description in RNAcentral is "partial 16S ribosomal RNA". It matches the Rfam family "Bacterial small subunit ribosomal RNA", at positions 1298 to 1389 of the family's 1533-position model. The record is from RNAcentral. Lineage: Bacteria; Candidatus Yanofskyibacteriota.
UUGGAGGCUGCAACUUGCCUCCAUGAAGCCGGAAUCGCUAGUAAUCGCAGAUCAGCACGCUGCGGUGAAUACGUUCUCGAUCUUUGCACUCA